AUGGAUGGCUACGUGCUUUUUAGGAAAGACAGGCCAGGAAAGCGAGGUGGUGGAGUUGCUCUUUAUGUGAGAGAGCAACUGGAAUGUAUUGAGCUGUGCCUAGGGGUGGAUGAAGAGCAAGUUGAGAGCUUAUGGGUAAGGAUUAAAGGGCAGGCUAGCAUGGGUGACACUGUUGUGGGUGUUUACUACAGGCCACCUGAUCAGGAUGAGGAAGUCGAUGAGGCCUUCUACAGACAGCUGGAAGUAGCCUCACAAUCACAGGCCCUGGUUCUCAUGGGGGACUUCAACCACCCYGAUAUCUGCUGGAAAGACAACACAGCUAGGCGCAAAGAGUCCUGGAGGUUCCUGCAGAGCAUUGGUGACAACUUCUUGACACAGGUGGUGGAGGAGCCAACAAGGAGAGGUGUGCUGCUGGACCUCGUACUAACAAACAAAGAAGGACUGGUGGAAGAUGUGAAGGUCGGGGGCUGCCUUGGCUGCAGUGACCAUGAGAUGGUGGAGUUCAGGAUCCUGCGAGGAGGCAGCAGGGCACCAAGUAGGAUCACAACCCUGGACUUCAGGAGAGCAAACUUUGGCCUCUUCAGGGACCUACUUGGAGGAAUCCCAUGGGUGAGGGCCCUAGAAGGAAGGAGUGUUCAAGAGAGCUGGUCAAUAUUCAAACAUCACUUCCUCCAGGCUCAAGAGCGGUGCAUCCCUAUGAGUAGGAAGUCAAGCAAAGGAGGCAGGAGACCUGCAUGGAUGAGCAAGGAGCUCCUGGCAAAACUUAACCAGAAGAAGGAAGUAUACAGAAAGUGGAAAGGGGGACAGGCCACUUGGGAGGAAUAUAGGAAUGUUGUCAGAGUAUGCAGGGAUGCGACGAGGAAGGCUAAGGCCCGUUUGGGAUUAAAUCUGGCUAGAGAUGUCAAGGACAGCAAGAAGGGCUUCUUCAAAUACAUCAGUAGCAAGAGGAAGACUAGGGAAAAUGUGGGGCCUUUGCUGAAUGGGGUGGGUGCCCUGGUGACGAAGGAUGCAGAGAAGGCAGAGUUACUGAAUGCCGCCUCUGCUUCAGUCUUUACUGCUCAGGCCAGCCCUCAGGAACCCCAGACCCUGGAGGCAAGAGAGAAAGUCUGGAGAAAGGAAGACUUUCCCUUGGUGGAGGAGGAUCGGGUUAGAGAUCAUUUAAGCAAACCUGACACCCACAAAUCCAUGGGCCCUGAUGGGAUGCACCCACGAGUGCUGAGGGAGCUGGCGGAUGUCAUUGCUAAGCCACUCUCCAUCAUCUUUGAAAGGUCAUGGAGAACAGGAGAGGUGCCUGAGGACUGGAAGAAAGCCAAUGUCACCCAGUCUUCAAAAAAGGCAAGAAGGAGGACCCAGGGAACUACAGGCCAGUCAGCCUCACCUGCAUCCCUGGAAAGGUGA
Apteryx haastii (Great spotted kiwi) is the source of this 1398-nucleotide long non-coding RNA. The record is from Ensembl. NCBI's taxonomy places the organism in Eukaryota, Metazoa, Chordata, Aves, Apterygiformes, Apterygidae.